AACUGAGGACUGAGGGUGACCACCUUCCAUUGGCCAGAGUCCUGGACUGAAAUGAAAAGGUGAAAGCGAGUUGAGUACCAGCAUGCAUUGCUCUCCACUUCCUGACGACAGGUGCCUCAACAUCCGGUCGCCACCGUACCUUUGUGAGAAACAAAUUGUUACCGUUCCUCUUCAACAUGAGCGGCUGCUAAUCUUGCGACUCUGGAAGUUACAAGUGUUCUGCUGCGAGGCUGAGCCCAAGGUCAGAAAGAGGGGCCAGUUCUAAGCCCCAAAUUGUUCAUUGGUUGAGGCUUUGGAAGCCAGGCUAAUGAGAUGAGGAGCUUGGGGGUGGAUGCAAUUCCUGGCCUAUAGGAAAAAGGGGCGGGGAUUUCUCAACUCUGGAGGGAUUUUAAAUCCCUUGUCUUGAGCCAAACCAUUACUUUGGCCAUUUUUACCUUUUUUUUUUUUUUUUAAAAUCUGUGCUGAAUCCUUUCCUAUAGAACUUUAUAUUCAAAACGGCCUUUCCCCCUACUCGAAUUUGUUAUUAGCUUAUUUCCAGCACUCCCUGGCCAUGACAGACUGCUCUCCCUCUAACACAAGGCAAAGUAACCUUUUCUUCCUUAAGUCGCUUUGCCGGGGAUGCAAAGGCUGUGGUUUUUGUUCCAGCAGUAACUAAUAACUAAGCCUAUUACAUCGAAGCUGCUGCCACGUGCCCCUUUCUAAGAUGAAACUCAUUCACACCUCACUGCACUGCUACCCCCCAAACACCCCGAACUGCAAAGAACCAUCCGGCUUUCCCAAAGCUUCCCAGUCCUUUCAAGUGUAUCUCUUCCAUAAAAGGCCAGCAUCGCUGAGCUACUUUAGCGCCUACUGAAAAAGGUCUUCCGUGGCGUCGGACCCACCAGUGAGGCGGCGCCUCUCAGAAUGUCAAGCAGUUAUUGACGCCUCGGUUUGUGUUAGCCUUGGCUGUGUUCUGUUUCUCAUCCGCUGUGUGCUUCCCCUGGAGCGGAACCACAGUUCUGCUCAAAAGGAGAGGCAGCCCGGAGGCUCCAAUUACUCACCGUCCAAGAACGUGUCAUCACAGGAAGGAACAAAGUGCCAAAGAGCCUCAGCUGUGUCUUCAUAGGAACGGGGCUGCGAUGCACCCAAUAGGUUCCCGCCUGGCCCUACAGACUGUCCCUGUCAUCGGAGUCUGCCGGAGGAUUCAUUUCUGAGCCUUCCCCUUCAUUCCUUCCGCUGUGCUUUGAAUGAAAUGCCACUCGGCUCAGGCUCACGAGUUCGAACACUCAGUCCUCAGCUCCCGGCAAAGUUUGGGAAGGUUAUGGAACCUGUGGAAGGGAAGAUAAAGCUACAGCAAGUGAGUCGCUGGGUAAGUGAGUCGCUGAGUGGGUGGACAUUGACGCUUAUGGACUGACUCUGCCUUCCGUGUCUUUGCUGCUUGUGGUCCACGGAGAUGUGAAUGAACAGCCUCACACUCCCUCCAUUGUGCCUUCACCACCACAAUGGAUGGGGCCAUCAAAAUGUGAGCCAAAAUGAACUCGUCAGUCCUUUGAAUUGCUGCUUGGUUACAGCAACGAUGAACAUGAGUUCACAUUCAAGGCUCCGAGCCGGCAGCUCUGGAAUCUAUGGAGGUGCUGCUAUCAUGGAGAUGGAUGUCUUCGAUCACGCUGGCCUACCUGCUCCUGGGGCUGGGGAGUGCCCACCCUGUGACCACGGAUGGCAAAGAGUGCACUGGAGACCAUCCUGCAGCAGUCAAGGUGGACCCUGACUACAUCUGUCUCUGUCCUGAGGAUUGUGGCUUCUAGGUUGACUCGCACUGGUAGUAAAAAUGUCCUAAACAGUGCCCCAGAGCCCAGAAUCAAGCCCACGGAUAUUGAUGCUGAAAUGGAUGGAGGUAUUCAUCCGGGAAGACCAGGGAAGCAGGAAGCUGCAAAACCACUAAGACCUGCUCAGAGCCACGUUGCACAGGACACCUCCGGAAUGUGGCUCUUCCUAACGGAGCCUUCAGCUCAGCUUUCCAGUACCCCGGGUGGAUGGUUAAUACCAUCUCAGAAAGAAGUGAAAGGCUAAAACAAGCCCACGGAGACCAGUACUCAGAUGCUAUCUGUCGUUUUGCUUUGACUAGCCCAGCCUGAACUCCCAUUGCGAAGUCCCAACUUGGUCUAAGAAGAAUGCUGGACUACCUGCCAUUUCCUUCCAAGCAGCAAGGAGGAAGACAUUGGGGAGGGUAUCUAAGAAGCACAGUAUGCCUCCUAGCAGUGCCUGUUGUCCUGGGAGCUACCUGCCCAGCCAUUCUCUGGACAUGGCCUUCCACAUCCCAUGAGUGGACAUGGUUAUAGAUUGCUGCUUAAAAAGCCAGAAAGAAAGGUGUCUUAGCAGGUUUCGUUGCCUCCAGAGUACAGUAAAGAUUCUCCUCAGAAGGAAGAUUAGCGGGGGCUUCUAGGACAGAAGGACUUUCCAGCCUACCCCUCCCCUUCAGGUCCUCUCUGUGCUUCGGCUCCCCCCUCAAACCUCCAUUCCCUAUGUUUGUGAAAUGAAUAACCUUGGGUCAGGCCGGGCAUCCUCCCUCUGAGAGAAGAUAUGAUAGAGAUUAUUAAAAUGAAAAGAAAAGGAGAGAAAGAAUUAUCUUUAACUCCUAGGAAGGAAAACAAGCUGGUGUUGCGGGCAGGAGAGGAGGGGACACUGCCCAGCAAUGUCAGGGCUCCAGGGGAGCAGGCUAAUUGUGGGCUCCCUGCCAUGGAGCCUUUUGAAACAGAAGAAUUCUUUUGAAAUGUGGUUAAUUACCCCCUACCUGGGUUUAAGAAGACACUUUUUGCAUUUGAGGCUUUUUCCAAAUGAGCCUGGCCUGGAUUCCUGCUUCUUCCCCGGGUGACUAAUGGAGCUGGAGGUAAGGGCUGGCAGGGGGCAGGAGGCAGAGGAAGAGCAGUUGACUUCAGGGUGGCUCCCUUCAGCCUCCUGGGAUACAGAAUGCCAGCAUGCAGGGACAGGGCGACAAGCCACGUGGUCUGAGGAACUAAGGGGGACUGUCACUUACAAUGAAAGGCUCUUUCUUCCUUCUUCCAGCAGAGGUUGCAGAGGAUGGCUAAGAGCUUGUGGCUGGGGUGGAGGAGAGCGGAGGCUAAGAGGCCGGAGAAGAGGAAAGGGCCAGGCUCUGGUCUAUAGAGGCAGAGCCAGCCACCACAGCCAGCACUCCACAGAGAACUGACCUGACUGCAGGCUGCUCUCAGCCCUGCUUCUCUGCAAAGCCCAGGAUCAAGACAGACCUGGUCAACGUGACGACAGAAGACAGGAAUGCACCUUAGUAUGGAGGAGAUGCAGGGAAGGCUGAGGAGACGCUUGCCACAGAAUCUUGAGGAACUUGAGUUUGAUCCCCAGAACCCAGGCGAA
Long non-coding RNA from Mus musculus (house mouse), 3366 nucleotides. RefSeq annotates it as predicted gene, 31399. The record is from RefSeq and is a predicted model, not a curated record. The transcript has 4 exons. Lineage: Eukaryota; Metazoa; Chordata; Mammalia; Rodentia; Muridae.